Molecule: ribosomal RNA, 312 nt
Filed under: Triticum aestivum (bread wheat)
Lineage: Eukaryota; Viridiplantae; Streptophyta; Magnoliopsida; Poales; Poaceae
Description: partial small subunit ribosomal RNA
Source: RNAcentral
AUGAAGGCGUAUCUCCUGCGAAUGCGAUCUCGUGGCAGCGUCGGGCAGCUCAAACCAAGUUUAUCCCUUUUGGCAUGCACAUGUCGGCAUGUAUCCAACCGAGAAGGCCACGAAGCCGCGCAGGCGUACGUGUCCGCCGCUCGCACACGCGUCGCGCCGCGCGCCGCUCGCGGGUCACCGGCCGCCACCGCUCUCACGCCCGCGCCCUUCCAGACCUCUCUCGCCCGUCGCCACCUUUUUUUAUUAAGCUCGCUCCUCGUUGUGCUUCUCCACUCGCACGGCGAAGAACAGGGCACCUCUGACCGAACAUAG